Molecule: unclassified non-coding RNA, 27 nt
Filed under: Mus musculus (house mouse)
Lineage: Eukaryota; Metazoa; Chordata; Mammalia; Rodentia; Muridae
Description: oocyte_clustered_small_RNA1275
Source: RNAcentral
UGAAUACUCUUGGCAGGGUCCCGGAAC